CCCUUAGAUGUCCUGGGCCGCACGCGCGCUACAAUGACACGUUCAACAAGCACUUUCCUGGCUUGGAAAAGUUUCGGGUAAUCUUUAUAAUACGUGUCGUGCUGGGGAUUGAUCUUUGGAAUUAUAGAUCUUGAACGAGGAAUUCCUAGUAAGCAUAAGUCAUCAGCUUGUGCUGAUUACGCCCCUGCCCUUUGUACACACCGCCCGUCGCUCCUACCGAUUGAAUGUUUCGGUGAAGAUUCCGGAUAGGACUUUUUUGAUUUAUUUCAAUUUUGUCUUAAAAGCUAUCUAAACCUCAACAUUUAGAGGAAGGUGAAGUCGUAACA
This 326-nucleotide ribosomal RNA is filed under the name uncultured eukaryote. Its description in RNAcentral is "partial 18S ribosomal RNA". It matches the Rfam family "Eukaryotic small subunit ribosomal RNA", at positions 1470 to 1796 of the family's 1831-position model. The record is from RNAcentral.